This 114-nucleotide small nucleolar RNA is filed under the name Erinaceus europaeus (western European hedgehog). Lineage: Eukaryota; Metazoa; Chordata; Mammalia; Eulipotyphla; Erinaceidae. The record is from RNAcentral.
UCGUAAAGAUAAUUCACAUGUCAAGGUGAAGGCUAUUUCUGAUGUACUAAGCAGCAUUAGAGUUGACUUAGCAGCACGACUACUCGGCCAUCUGUCAGUCAUCUUCAGACAAAU